This 430-nucleotide ribosomal RNA is filed under the name Pseudomonadota bacterium. Its description in RNAcentral is "Proteobacteria bacterium partial 16S ribosomal RNA". It matches the Rfam family "Bacterial small subunit ribosomal RNA", at positions 355 to 776 of the family's 1533-position model. Lineage: Bacteria; Pseudomonadati; Pseudomonadota. The record is from RNAcentral.
UGGGGAAUAUUGGACAAUGGGCGAAAGCCUGAUCCAGCCAUGCCGCGUGUGUGAAGAAGGUCUUCGGAUUGUAAAGCACUUUAAGCGAGGAGGAGGGUACUGGUAUUAAUACUAUCAGGUACUGGACGUUACUCGCAGAAUAAGCACCGGCUAACUCUGUGCCAGCAGCCGCGGUAAUACAGAGGGUGCGAGCGUUAAUCGGAUUUACUGGGCGUAAAGCGUGCGUAGGUGGUUCGUUAAGUUGAAUGUGAAAGCCCCGGGCUCAACCUGGGAACUGCAUCCAAAACUGGCGAGCUAGAGUAGGGCAGAGGGUGGUGGAAUUUCCUGUGUAGCGGUGAAAUGCGUAGAUAUAGGAAGGAACACCAGUGGCGAAGGCGACCACCUGGGCUCAUACUGACACUGAGGUGCGAAAGCGUGGGGAGCAAACAGG